This is a long non-coding RNA of Panicum virgatum (switchgrass), 524 nucleotides long. RefSeq lists it as uncharacterized. The record is from RefSeq and is a predicted model, not a curated record. Lineage: Eukaryota; Viridiplantae; Streptophyta; Magnoliopsida; Poales; Poaceae. The transcript is spliced from 2 exons.
AUGUCCACAUAUUUGGAUAGUAACCAGGCGUACCUCCAAAUCCCUGCAUUUAGUUGACCUCUUGCUAUGCUUGGAUUGAUUCCAUUCUUUGUUUUGACAGGAUUGACUUUCCUGUAGGGAUUGAGGUGAUUUGAUGGUACGCGGUGUAAUCCGUGGGGAUCAUGUCCAUUGUGCCUUAGCUUACAUGAAACUUGGAAGUUAGCUUAAGUCAUUAUUAUUUGGAAUCAUUAUAUGGACACAGAACAUGCUAGCCUCUUGUGGGUAAACUAUUACUGGAAAUUCUGUGGACAGACACCAACACACAAGCACAAACAGGUAAACAAGGAUGGUUACUGCAAGAAGAGUAUAUUUUCCUUUUGUCUAUCAGAUGCAGCCAUUUGCUUUCUACUUGGUUCGUUCAGAGCCUGUGUCAAAUAGCUAGAUUUAUUUUUAAAAUUUCAUAGGUGCAAACUGUGUAAUCUACUCUUUUGAUUAUUCAUGAACAUACUUUAGUACUUUGCAUGUUUAUUUGAAUUGAUAUUCCA